CACGCCGUAAACGAUGAAUACUAGGUGUAGGAGGUAUCGACUCCUUCUGUGCCGUAGCAAACGCAUUAAGUAUUCCACCUGGGGAGUACGGCCGCAAGGUUAAAACUCAAAGGAAUUGAC
This 120-nucleotide ribosomal RNA is filed under the name uncultured bacterium. RNAcentral's name for it is "partial 16S ribosomal RNA". It matches the Rfam family "Bacterial small subunit ribosomal RNA", at positions 796 to 914 of the family's 1533-position model. The record is from RNAcentral.